GACGAACGCUGGCGGCGUGCUUAACACAUGCAAGUCGAACGGAAAGGCCCUGCUUUUGUGGGGUGCUCGAGUGGCGAACGGGUGAGUAACACGUGAGUAACCUGCCCUUGACUUUGGGAUAACUUCAGGAAACUCGGGCUCAUACCGGAUAGGAGCUCCUGCUGCACGGUGGGGGUUGGAAAGUUUCGGCGGUUGGGGCUCGACUCGCGGCUUAUCAGCUUGUUGGUGGGGUAGUGGCUUACCAAGGCUUUGACGGGUAGCCGGCCUGGGAGGGUGACCGGCCACAUUGGGACUGAGAGACGGCCCAGACUCCAACGGGAGGCAGUAGUGGGGAAUAUUGCACAAUGGGCGGAAGCCUGAUGCAGCAACGCCGCGUGCGGGAAGACGGCCUUCGGGGUGUAAACCGCUUUCGCCUGUGACGAAGCGUGAGUGACGGUAAUGGGUAAAGAAGCACCGGCUAACUACGUG
Molecule: ribosomal RNA, 468 nt
Filed under: uncultured bacterium
Lineage: Bacteria
Description: partial 16S ribosomal RNA
Rfam family: Bacterial small subunit ribosomal RNA
Source: RNAcentral